This 253-nucleotide ribosomal RNA is filed under the name uncultured bacterium. RNAcentral describes it as "partial 16S ribosomal RNA". It matches the Rfam family "Bacterial small subunit ribosomal RNA", at positions 524 to 776 of the family's 1533-position model. The record is from RNAcentral.
UACGUAGGUCCCAAGCGUUAUCCGGAUUUAUUGGGUUUAAAGGGUGCGUAGGCGGGCUAUUAAGUCAGUGGUGAAAGCCCCAAGCUUAACUUGGGAACUGCCAUUGAUACUGAUGGUCUUGAGUACAUUUGAGGUGGGCGGAAUGUGUCAUGUAGCGGUGAAAUGCUUAGAUAUGACACAGAACACCGAUUGCGAAGGCAGCUCACUAAACUGUAACUGACGCUGAGGCACGAAAGCGUGGGGAGCAAACAGG